AAUUAGCCGGGCUUGGUGGUGGGCACCUGUAGUCCCACCUACUAGGAGGCUGAGGGAGGUGAAUCGCUUGAACCCAGGAGGCGGAUGUUGCAGUGAGCAAGAUCUUGGCAUUGCACUCCAGCCUGGGUGACAGAGCGAGACUCCGUCAAAAAAAAAACAACAAAAACAAACAAACAAAAAACAAAAAAAACCCUAAACAGUGCUGGGGACAGGCACCACAACUUAACAGGGCAUCUGCCCUGUGAAGCCACAGAGGUAGGUGGUGGGUGUCUUGAGGUGGGGGGAGAAAGGCAAGAUUGCUGCUGGGCAAAGUGGAGACAGUGAGGUUCAAGCCACCAUGCGUCCCAGCAGGUGUGGAGGUCACACCACUCAGCAGGUGGAGGAUGCACCGUCACCCACUGUGAGGCAGGGACCUUCCUGUGGGUUCACAGAGGAGCCCUCCAGCAAUGGAGUAACACUGCAGCUGGCUGCUCUGCUCAGGGUCGCAGCCCAGGGUAGAGUGGAAGACAGAGGAGCAGGCUGGUGAGGACAGGCUGCUGAAGGCUUCCACUUUAGUCUUCACAUCUAACUCGGGGCGGCUUCAUAGCAGGGAGAUAGUCAGCAAGAACUUCCAAAUCAUUUUCAAAGUCUAUCAGGAACAUUUCUGGCUCAGAAUCUCACGCUCCCUCCUUUCCAGAGCUACGUUCCUUUGUAUUUUCUAUAGAAGCAGACGUAGGAUCUAAGCAUAUGUCUCUGAGGGUGCCUGGACUAAGAAAUCCAGGAGAUUCAGUGAAGAAUUGUGUUAUGUUUUUUUUUUUUUUUUUUUUUUUUUUUUUUUUUUUUUUUUUUUGUCGUAUGCUUGGCAGAGAGCAGGUAAUUGGGCCCAUCAUUAUUUAGGGCUAAAAAUUUGUUGAUUUGAGAUUUUUUGGGAUUGGCUAAAACCUACUUCAGAACAACAUGGGAAGGAAAAGAAAAGCUAUCUUUGUUUCAGGAAUGCCGGGCUUCAGCUUCCCUGGUGAGUAAAUGAAGAAACUGCCUGCGACUGCUUGGCCUCAGACUGCCUUGCGAAGGCUCCUUCUGGCACAAUUUGGGCUUUGAACUUCUCCCUUAAUUUCUGAAUCUGUGUUGUGAUAAUUGGCUUUGGAAAGGUUACGAGAGGUUGACUCUGGCCUGACACGGAGGCUCUAGCCAAUGCCAGAGAGGUAGGCUUGGUGCCAGAGCUCACCUCAGACCCACAUCUCCAGGGAGUGACAGGAACAGAAAAUCAGCCAAGCUACUGUGACCCAGUCGUUCAGCAAAUGUCGGAGCGUUGCAAUGCCUGCCCCCACCCUACCCCAGAGCAAGGCUGGGCACCUGAACACUGUGUGGGGUACUCUGCGUCUGUGCUCUGGGGAAGGGGGCUGUGAAAUUCACCUGGAGAUCUGUUUUAAGACCUGCGCUUUCGAAAUGCUCUCAAACUCUUUUAUCAAGACAGUACAGCUUGGACAAAUGUCCACAAUAGAGAAGCAGUGACAUCCCUUGGACCUCCGGGAACAGCAGCCCUGUCUGUCUCUGAACGGGCCUUCCUCCCUCAGGCUCCUCUCACCCCUCGGGGCUGCCCUCAGGGGAGGAUGGCCUCACCCAGUGAAGGUUAACUGGGCCCUUUGUUUGCAAAUGGCAGGACAGGAGCUGGUGCUAGCUGAUCAUGAGGCUUUUUACAGCAUCAAAGUGCUGCAGUUUACUAAGAAAUCAGGAAAGCAUAUUCCAAAACAGGGUUGUCUUCUAGGAAGGAACAGAGAGGACUCUGCCUUUCUACUUUCAGGCAUCCAGCCCUGUAUGCUCCACCAGGGUAUCUGUGAGGAGAGGCAGCGUGAGCAGGCCCAGUGGAAGCAGGGAUGGAGAAGGAGGGGUCUCCCAUAACUCACUGCAGAUGCUGAGUAUAAUUAAAAUGUGAAUUACAUGUGUCUAACAUGGUAAAGAGGCUCAGGUAACUGAGCGAGGUUUUCUCCUUGAAGGUAGAAAUGUCUGUGUAAGGAGGUCAUUCCACCUUUUGGGCUACCUUUAAAUGAGUGUUUUUGAAGUGGUAUUCUUUAAAAAAAAUUUUUUUAAAUGCAAUCUGUCCUUGUUCUCUUUAAAGCAAAUAUCUACAGAGAUGUUUAUCACAUUAUCAUACCUCUGGUUGGAAACAAUAUUUUUGACUUGAUGGAUUUUAUAUUUUCACUAUUAGAAGCUACUCCUUUAUUCCCAAGUAUAAAAUUCUAGCUUCAAAGUAAAUGCUUGGCCAAUCAACACCAAAUAAGGCAGGAAAAAAAAAAAAAAAACGCAGAAAACUCACAAAGCCUCAGAUUAUAAGGGGCCUAGUCAGGUUUCAGAAACUCUAGUCCAAACAGGCAUUCCUAACCUAGCCCAGGCAGCUCUUACCUCAGGCACUUAGCAACGCGCAGGCCUUUUGAAUUUGCUUAAAACUAUUAAGAAGUAAUUAAGUAGUUAGAGGGUCUUUUUCAGCCCUGAGGUCCAGGAGGUGGGCUAAAUGAAAGAAAACAAGCGCAAUCGCUCAGCCUUGUCUUCCUUCUAGCUGACCUUGCACGCUAAUAAAUUCAUCCUGUAUUUUUCUGCUACUGCCAAUUUAUGGCCUACAGGAAACUAAUCUUGUACAAUAACUACCUUCCUGUACUUAGUUCCUAAAUAGAGCCAAAUGGAUUUGGUGGCGGAAGAGCUCCCCAGCACUUCCUGUGAGGCAGUUGCUGAGCCCAGCAAGAUCUGAUAGAGGCUUGAUGCGCUUAUCGACUCUGACGAUAUAAUUAUGUUCUUGUUUUGGCUGCCCUGCACUUAAGCACAGAAAAUAAAAAAGCAAUCCUCUGUACAACGCCUACCACAAUGAUUUAAACUUCAAACUGGAGGGUAAGAUGUGUAUUUGAAACAAGCCACGUAGGCACAGUUAUGGUGAAUUUAGGGAGUGAAACACACAGGUGAUCAAUAUUUCACUGGAGUCUUUGAUAUAAAAUAUAUAUCUGCUCUGUGAUUUCAAAAUAUUCACAAAGGAGUAAAUUUUUUAAUGAGCUAAUGAAAGAACUGUGUUUUCAUUUCAAACGGGAAGAGAGGGAGAAAGAGAGAGAGAAUAGAAAUAUAGAGCCAUUUCUUCAGUAAUAGUUUACAACCAGUUUGCCACAGGCUUGGAUUAAAGUAAGGAAAGGCUGUCAAAACGCAGGGUAACCUGUGUGAUAUCUUUUCAGACCCUCAAAUAGCUCAAAUACUACGCUGGGAAAACUCAGAGUUUGUCCUUUAAAGAACCUGAAAGUGUUUAAUCUUUGAUAAGUGCAGGCUCCUCAGGCUUUGCCGCUUCCCCACACCGGAUUUGCCUGCCACUCACCCAUACCGAUCUGAUGACUUCAUGUGGACACGGAUCGGUCCCGUAUGACAGCGUCUUCUUCCUGUGCUCAUUUAUUCUAGAACUAUAGCAAAGCUGCUAAUGCAAAGGGAAGCCUUCUACAAAAAGGAUGAAGAAAUCACCCUGACCAAGAGACCGAAGCAAAGAUGAAAGGAAGGCAUAAAUAAUCGCAGCUCGGGUCCGAUGAGACUUAUUGCUGGGGCUUUCAGACCUAGAGAGGUAGCAGGGGCGGGGUGGGGGUGCCUGUACGCGGGGGCGGGGUGUCCCACCCAGUUGACCUGGAUUAGAGCCCAUGGGGCUGCAUUCCGGGCUUCCGUGUUUCCCAAAGUUAUGUGGUGGCGGGGGGCCUGGCUGUUAAGGAUCUGGGGAUGUGGUUACCUAUGGCCUCUGAGGGUGACACCAGCUGUCCAGCACUGUGAAAUCAAACAAUGGUAGUGGGCCAGAAAGAUGGCUUAGCUUCCUCCUGAGUAUGAGCAAGUUUCCGUAACUGUGAAUCAUCCUUCCCCAACCAUAAAAGUGGGCAUAUUAAUACCUGUCUUGUAAGAAUCCUGUGAAGAUCAGGGAUAACAAAUGCAACUUAAUAAAAGUAACCUGUUAUGUGUUGGCUGGUGAUGCCAUAAAUGUAUUUUGUAAAAUCUUUAUAAUGGUGACUAACCAAUAUAUUAUUAUUAAUAGCAAUAGGAGUAUUGUCUGAUUCAAAGGGCGCAUUUAGAUUGUGGUAAUUCUGUGUGUGGCUGGAUGGGAGACUGGAGGGGGCUGGAGGUUUUAGGAUGAGUGGGACAGGGAUUAUUAGAAGUGGCUAAUAAAGAGAUCAAAGAAGUAACUUUGUUCCUAAUUUUUAAAAUCAUCAUUCUACCUCACUCUCCUAAAAGUGAUGAGGAUCAUAAUAUUUAUGCCUUACGUUUAUACAGGACUUUAUACUUGAAUAUCCCUUUUACAUCUCUGGUCCGUUUUAGAAAUUUGAGCCUAAACAUGGGAAGCAGAAAAAAAGUCAAUGUGGAAAAGCACUGUGCCCAUCCCAGUUUGGCCAGAAUGAUUUCAGAUUGUUAUCAAGAAAGGGAAUAGCGGCAGCAUGGUUUGGUUUUCCUCUCUCAAGAGGACUGGACACAGGGAAGGAACAGGAAAAAACCUCCUGAGCAAAGCAAGGUUCCAGAACAGACUAGUUCAAAGCCUACACAUGGUUAGUGCUCCGUGGAGGUGCCAGCUCACGG
RNAcentral lists this long non-coding RNA (4557 nucleotides) under Homo sapiens (human). Its description in RNAcentral is "HSALNT0206757". Lineage: Eukaryota; Metazoa; Chordata; Mammalia; Primates; Hominidae. The record is from RNAcentral.